GAUGAACGCUGGCGGCGUGCCUAAUACAUGCAAGUCGAACGCAUAGCGAAAGGUGCUUGCACCUUUCAAGUGAGUGGCGAACGGGUGAGUAACACGUGGACAACCUGCCUCAAGGCUGGGGAUAACAUUUGGAAACAGAUGCUAAUACCGAAUAAAACUUAGUGUCGCAUGACACAAAGUUAAAAGGCGCUUCGGCGUCACCUAGAGAUGGAUCCGCGGUGCAUUAGUUAGUUGGUGGGGUAAAGGCCUACCAAGACAAUGAUGCAUAGCCGAGUUGAGAGACUGAUCGGCCACAUUGGGACUGAGACACGGCCCAAACUCCUACGGGAGGCUGCAGUAGGGAAUCUUCAACAAUGGGCGAAAGCCUGAUGGAGCAACGCCGCGUGUGUGAUGAAGGCUUUCGGGUCGUAAAGCACUGUUGUAUGGGAAGAACAGCUAGAAUAGGAAAUGAUUUUAGUUUGACGGUACCAUACCAGAAAGGGACGGCUAAAUACGUG
Molecule: ribosomal RNA, 497 nt
Filed under: uncultured bacterium
Lineage: Bacteria
Description: partial 16S ribosomal RNA
Rfam family: Bacterial small subunit ribosomal RNA
Source: RNAcentral